Molecule: long non-coding RNA, 426 nt
Organism: Lineus longissimus
Lineage: Eukaryota; Metazoa; Nemertea; Pilidiophora; Heteronemertea; Lineidae
Exons: 3
Source: RefSeq, a predicted model, not a curated record
AAAUGCCGCUACGAGUACGACCAUAGUCACUGAUGUGCUGACAGCCGUCGCAAUUAAUAGCUGCAGAGAAGUUAAGUCAAUGUCCUCGGCGAGAAGCAGCGGUACAGAUAUUGGUGUCAAAGGAGCUGUCGGGAGGAAGAUCUCCGGGAAACUGCAGCCGAUUUCCCAAUGCAAUGAUUUUAACGUGGGGCCCUCUGCAGAAACAGGUCGAAGAAACUUGACUGGAUUCCGGAGGCGAAGUUUGCUUGCCGACUCUCCGAGGAGAACUUCCACUCCCGAAGGACGUGUUAACCAGUUGAUAGAGCAAGGAGCAAGCCACAAAUCUCUCGUCACUGAACUGAAUUGCUUGAAGUACACGGGCAGCGGGAGAGUUGCGAAAUAUCUCGGAGAGGAGCAAAGGAAUAGCACGACCGUUCUUAGAAAGAA